CAGUCGCCGCGGUAAUACGUAGGGUGCGAGCGUUAAUCGGAAUUACUGGGCGUAAAGCGUGCGCAGGCGGUCUUGUAAGACAGGCGUGAAAUCCCCGGGCUCAACCUGGGAAUGGCGCUUGUGACUGCAAAGCUAGAGUGCGGCAGAGGGGGAUGGAAUUCCGCGUGUAGCAGUGAAAUGCGUAGAUAUGCGGAGGAACACCGAUGGCGAAGGCAAUCCCCUGGGCCUGCACUGACGCUCAUGCACGAAAGCGUGGGGAGCAAACAGGAUUAGAUACCCGCGUAGUCCCUGUCUCUUAUAC
RNAcentral lists this ribosomal RNA (301 nucleotides) under uncultured bacterium. RNAcentral's name for it is "partial 16S ribosomal RNA". It matches the Rfam family "Bacterial small subunit ribosomal RNA", at positions 509 to 807 of the family's 1533-position model. The record is from RNAcentral.